UUGAUCAUGGCUCAGAUUGAACGCUGGCGGCAGGCCUAACACAUGCAAGUCGAGCGGCAGCACAGAGAAACUUGUUUCUCGGGUGGCGAGCGGCGGACGGGUGAGUAAUGCCUGGGAAAUUGCCCUGAUGUGGGGGAUAACCAUUGGAAACGAUGGCUAAUACCGCAUGAUGCCUACGGGCCAAAGAGGGGGACCUUCGGGCCUCUCGCGUCAGGAUAUGCCCAGGUGGGAUUAGCUAGUUGGUGAGGUAAGGGCUCACCAAGGCGACGAUCCCUAGCUGGUCUGAGAGGAUGAUCAGCCACACUGGAACUGAGACACGGUCCAGACUCCUACGGGAGGCAGCAGUGGGGAAUAUUGCACAAUGGGCGCAAGCCUGAUGCAGCCAUGCCGCGUGUGUGAAGAAGGCCUUCGGGUUGUAAAGCACUUUCAGUUGUGAGGAAGGUGGUGUCGUUAAUAGCGGCAUCAUUUGACGUUAGCAACAGAAGAAGCACCGGCUAACUCCGUGCCAGCAGCCGCGGUAAUACGGAGGGUGCGAGCGUUAAUCGGAAUUACUGGGCGUAAAGCGCAUGCAGGUGGUUUGUUAAGUCAGAUGUGAAAGCCCGGGGCUCAACCUCGGAACUGCAUUUGAAACUGGCAGACUAGAGUACUGUAGAG
Molecule: ribosomal RNA, 654 nt
Filed under: Vibrio vulnificus
Lineage: Bacteria; Pseudomonadati; Pseudomonadota; Gammaproteobacteria; Vibrionales; Vibrionaceae
Description: bacterial SSU rRNA
Rfam family: Bacterial small subunit ribosomal RNA
Source: RNAcentral